RNAcentral lists this transfer RNA (84 nucleotides) under Lentinula boryana. RNAcentral's name for it is "tRNA-Pro". The record is from RNAcentral. RNAcentral also lists the same sequence under 2 other names. Lineage: Eukaryota; Fungi; Basidiomycota; Agaricomycetes; Agaricales; Omphalotaceae.
GGCCUGAUGGUCUAGGAGUAUGAUUCGUUGUUAGGGCACUUCUGCUUUUCGACGAGGUCCCGGGUUCAAUUCCCGGUCAGGCCC